This 297-nucleotide long non-coding RNA is filed under the name Capsella rubella. RNAcentral describes it as "long non-coding RNA (CRUB_LNC004727)". The record is from RNAcentral. Lineage: Eukaryota; Viridiplantae; Streptophyta; Magnoliopsida; Brassicales; Brassicaceae.
GGAGAAGUACUGUGACAUUUGGGAUUUCAAGUAGUUGUCAAGAGUAGUAGUAGAUAUGAGCUUGCAAAAACCAACCACGUUUCUAGGACGGCUAUCUGAUUCACCGGCCAUCUCAUCAAUCUUCUUUAUUAUUUUUUUUUUUUUUUCAGGUUUUUCCCAUUAACCCUACCAAACUUCCAAAUACUAUUUUCUGUAAGUUUUAAUAGCAUCAUUAUAUCUUUUAAAUCUUUGAAGAAAUAAUAGUGACAUGAUAUCUCAAAUAAGAUGAAUAGUAACUCACAUCUGAACCUAUAUUGU